Molecule: ribosomal RNA, 482 nt
Filed under: uncultured bacterium
Lineage: Bacteria
Description: partial 16S ribosomal RNA
Rfam family: Bacterial small subunit ribosomal RNA
Source: RNAcentral
GACGAACGCUGGCGGCGUGCUUAACACAUGCAAGUCGAACGAUGAAGCAAAGAAACGCGAACUUCGGUUCAAAUUUCACUUCGGAUUAGUGGCAGACGGGUGAGUAACGCGUGAGCAACCUACCUCUUACAAAGGGAUAGCCUCGGGAAACCGUGAUUAAUACCAUAUGACACAUUCAUAAGGCAUCUUAAGAAUGUUAAAGCUACGGCGGUAAGAGAUGGGCUCGCGUCCCAUUAGCUAGUUGGUGAGGUAACGGCCCACCAAGGCGACGAUGGGUAACCGGCCUGAGAGGGUGAACGGUCACAUUGGAACUGAGACACGGUCCAAACUCCUACGGGAGGCAGCAGUGGGGAAUAUUGCACAAUGGAGGGAACUCUGAUGCAGCGACGCCGCGUGAGCGAUGAAGGAAUUCGUUUCGUAAAGCUCUGUUCUAUGGGAAGAAAAGGACUGUACCAUAGGAGAAAGCCCCGGCUAAAUACGUG